ACAGCAGCCGCCACGGGAAUACAGAGGGUGCGAGCGUUAAUCGGAUUUACUGGGCGUAAAGCGUGCGUAGGCGGCUUUUUAAGUCGGAUGUGAAAUCCCUGAGCUUAACUUAGGAAUUGCAUUCGAUACUGGGAAGCUAGAGUAUGGGAGAGGAUGGUAGAAUUCCAGGUGUAGCGGUGAAAUGCGUAGAGAUCUGGAGGAAUACCGAUGGCGAAGGCAGCAAUCUGGCCUAAUACUGACGCUGAGGUACGAAAGCAUGGGGAGCAAACAGGAUUAGAUACCCGCGUAGUCCCUGUCUCUUAUAC
Molecule: ribosomal RNA, 305 nt
Filed under: uncultured bacterium
Lineage: Bacteria
Description: partial 16S ribosomal RNA
Rfam family: Bacterial small subunit ribosomal RNA
Source: RNAcentral